This 63-nucleotide transfer RNA is filed under the name Tribolium castaneum (red flour beetle). Its description in RNAcentral is "tRNA-Asn". Lineage: Eukaryota; Metazoa; Arthropoda; Insecta; Coleoptera; Tenebrionidae. The record is from RNAcentral.
UAAUUGAAACCAAAAAGAGGUAUGUCACUGUUAAUGACAAAAUUGAAUUAUUUUCCAAUUAAA